RNAcentral lists this unclassified non-coding RNA (161 nucleotides) under uncultured Phialemonium. Its description in RNAcentral is "sequence contains ITS1". The record is from RNAcentral. Lineage: Eukaryota; Fungi; Ascomycota.
CAGAGUUGCAAAACUCCCAAACCCUAUGUUUAUCUACCUGUUUCGUUGCUUCGGCAGGCGGCCCCUGGGAGGGGCCCUGGCCUCGUGAGAGGUGGUCUGCCGGAGGUCCCAAAACUCUUGUUAAUUACUGUUCUGUCUGAGUAAAAAACCAUAAUAAGUUA